UCCUGGCUCAGGAUGAACGCUAGCGGCGCGCUUAAUGCAUGCAAGUCGAGCGAUGAGGCUCCUUCGGGGGUCAUCAGCGGCAGACGGGUGAGUAACACGUAGGUGACCUACCCUCGAGACGGGGAUAACGGCUGGAAACAGUCGCUAAUACCCGAUAGACUUACCAGGUCAAAGCGGUAAGAAAAGCUACGGUGCUUGAGGAGGGGCCUGCGGCCCAUCAGCUAGUUGGUAGGGUAACGGCCUACCAAGGCGAAGACGGGUAGGGGGUGUGAGAGCACGAGCCCCCACAAUGGGACUGCGACACGGCCCAUACUCCUACGGGAGGCAGCAGCAGGGAAUAUUGCACAAUGGACGGAAGUCUGAUGCAGCGACGCCGCGUGAGUGAAGACGGCCUUCGGGUUGUAAAGCUCUUUUACGGGGGACGAGGAAGGACGGUACCCUGGGAAGAAGUGUCGGCUAACUACGUGCCAGCAGCCGCGGUAAGACGUAGGACACAAGCGUUAUCCGGAGUUACUGGGCGUAAAGCGCCUGCAGGCGGCCUGGUAAGUUGGACGUGAAAGCCCCGUGCUUAACGCGGGGAGGUCGGACAAUACUGCCAAGCUAGAGUGCGUCAGAGGGGAGUGGAAUUUCCGGAGUAGCGGUAAAAUGCGCAGAUAUCGGAAGGAACACCAGUGGCGAAAGCGACUCCCUGGGGCGCGACUGACGCUAAGAGGCGAAAGCUAGGGGAGCGAACAGGGAUUAGAGACCCUGGUAGUCCUAGCCCUAAACGAUGGAUGCUAGGUGUGGGACGUAAAGUUCCGUGCCGGAGCCAACGCGAUAAGCAUCCCGCCUGGGGACUACGGUCGCAAGGCUAAAACGUCAACGAGUUUGACGGGGACCCGCACAAGCAGCGGACCGUGUGGUUCAAU
This 908-nucleotide ribosomal RNA is filed under the name uncultured organism. RNAcentral describes it as "bacterial SSU rRNA". It matches the Rfam family "Bacterial small subunit ribosomal RNA", at positions 17 to 950 of the family's 1533-position model. The record is from RNAcentral.